Molecule: unclassified non-coding RNA, 234 nt
Filed under: plant metagenome
Description: partial contains small subunit ribosomal RNA, internal transcribed spacer 1, and 5.8S ribosomal RNA
Source: RNAcentral
UUUCCGUAGGUGAACCUGCGGAAGGAUCAUUACAGUAGUCACCCAGGUUGCCGCAAGGCCUCCUGGGUAACCUACCACCCUUUGUUUAUUACGCUUUGUUGCUUUGGCAAGCCUGCCCUCGGGCUGCUGGCUCCGGCCGGCGAGCGCUUGCCAGAGGACCUAAACUCUGUUUGUCUAUACUGUCUGAGUACUAUAUAAUAGUUAAAACUUUCAACAACGGAUCUCUUGGUUCUG